Molecule: long non-coding RNA, 801 nt
Organism: Lathyrus oleraceus (garden pea)
Lineage: Eukaryota; Viridiplantae; Streptophyta; Magnoliopsida; Fabales; Fabaceae
Exons: 2
Source: RefSeq, a predicted model, not a curated record
CUUAAAACGGAAAAAAGAAAAAGAAGCGUUAUUUUUCAACAACCUUUCUCUCUCUUCAAUUUCCCAGCCGCUCACAACACUUUGUAAACCCUAAAGUUCUUCUCUCUUCUUCGUUCAGUUCACCCUCACCCUCUCGACCUAUGAACAACAAAAAUUAGGACAUCCAAGGCUAGGGAAAGCAAAGACCGAUCAUGACGGACGACACAAGUUUAACGGCGGCCGUUACGAACUGUCACGGUGAUGCCGCCAUGAGUAUCCGGAACUCAAACCAAAAUCAUACCUUACCCAAACACAAAGGAAAACCAUAAACUUAAAUCUCGCAGUGAAAUUUCCAAAAAAAACCGAGAACAACAACAAACAAGAUCCAAAAUCAGAAAAUCAAGAAAAAAGACUCCAAAUCUUUAAAUCAAAACCAAACCAAAUACAACAACAUCUUCACGCAAUAAUCAUGGGGGUCACGUUCUAUGAGGCAAUACAAAUAUGACAAUAAUAUCAUAACAUGCAAAGGAGAAUUUUAAAUACCAAAUCGGAGCUAGUCCGACGUUAAGAUUUCGGCAAGGUGAGGUUACAAGUUUGAAAUGACUUGAUGGAAUGGGAGGUGGCUAUAAGAAAGCACACUUGGAGGCGCGCCCAAGUCAAAGGGGUUUUCAUCUUGAUUACCUGGCUUUAGUCUUUAGGAUUUGUUUCCAUUUGCAGCAAAUUUCCACUUAAUUAAAAUGUAAUUACUUAGUUUAGUUUUUUUUAAGACAAAUGUGUGUUUGGAUUAUUUGUAACUUAUUAAAUUAAAUUUUAAUUAUGUAA